AUGGUGCUAACUAUGCUGAGUUUGCUGCCUUUAUGCGCAUUCACAUGUGUGGCCUUCGUUUAUGGGGAGUUCUUUCCGGCGAGGUUCCUUGUCCUCAGCGUCCAGUUCCAGCGUCCAGUUCCUCCUGUGGCUCCUAUCCCACCGCCACCUCCACCGGAUCUUGGCGCAGAUGCUUCUGAUGAUGAUAGGGCUGCAGCCCGGGUUGCUGCCAAUGAUGUGGUCGCUGCUUAUGACCAGCAGGUCGCGGUUUAUUCGGAUGCUCUUUCCAUUUAUCGUGAUGAUCUGACUGCUUAUACUCAGUGGUGUGAUGAUGAUGCUCGUGUUGCGGCUGUCCUCACUUCCACUGUUUUACCACAGUUUGCAUCUGAGUUUAUGGGCCUCAGUACUGUGUUUGAGAUGUGGACUCGUCUUCGUCAGCGCUAUCAGCCCUCUGGUGAUGCUCUCUACUUGUCUGUGGUACGUCAAGAGCAUGCUCUUCAGUAG
RNAcentral lists this ribosomal RNA (483 nucleotides) under Triticum aestivum (bread wheat). RNAcentral's name for it is "partial small subunit ribosomal RNA". Lineage: Eukaryota; Viridiplantae; Streptophyta; Magnoliopsida; Poales; Poaceae. The record is from RNAcentral.